AUUGAAUAUACCCGAUCUCGCCUGAUCUCGGAAGUCAAGCAAUCUCGGGCUUGGUUAGUACUUGGAUGGGUGACCGCUUGGGAAUACCAAGUGUGAUAAGCA
Molecule: non-coding RNA, 102 nt
Organism: Ciona savignyi (Pacific transparent sea squirt)
Lineage: Eukaryota; Metazoa; Chordata; Ascidiacea; Phlebobranchia; Cionidae
Source: Rfam